UUUAAAUUAUUACUAAGGUACCGUUUGGUUCAGGUAUAAGUAAGAACUAAUUAUUAUAGGGAUAGGUACAAGUAUGUGGAUAAGAAAAAUAGGAUUUGGAUGAAAAUUGGGUUGUUUCCAACAAUUUUAGAUAGUUUUAUAUAAAAAAUGGAGGUAUUGGUGGGGAUAAUCGAGAACUACUAUUCUGUAUAAAGGGGGCGAUAAGAGACUAUUCCUAUCCCUAUCCCCUAACCAAAUUUUAGAGUUAAAAUAUUAGAGUCAAAAUUUUAGAGUUAAAAUAUUAUUAACUGAUUCAAAUUAAAUAAAUUAAAAUAAUAAAUAAUAGAAUCAAAAGUUUAAAAGGAUAGAUAUCUGAAUCAAAAUAAUUUAUGAAUCGGCUAAGUUUUAUAUGUUUUACCUUUAGCUUAUUAAGUAUAGAGGUGAAAACAAUCGCGUACG
Molecule: long non-coding RNA, 438 nt
Filed under: Ananas comosus (pineapple)
Lineage: Eukaryota; Viridiplantae; Streptophyta; Magnoliopsida; Poales; Bromeliaceae
Description: long non-coding RNA (ACOM_LNC027650)
Source: RNAcentral